RNAcentral lists this ribosomal RNA (393 nucleotides) under uncultured bacterium. Its description in RNAcentral is "partial 16S ribosomal RNA". It matches the Rfam family "Bacterial small subunit ribosomal RNA", at positions 523 to 918 of the family's 1533-position model. The record is from RNAcentral.
AUACGGAGGAUGCAAGCGUUAUCCGGAUUUAUUGGGUUUAAAGGGUGCGCAGGCGGGCUGUUAAGUCAGCGGUGAAAUCUCCCGGCUCAACCGGGGAACUGCCGUUGAUACUGGCAGCCUAGAGUACAGACGGCGCCGGCGGAAUGUGUCAUGUAGCGGUGAAAUGCUUAGAUAUGCCACAGAACACCGAUCGCGAAGGCAGCUGGCGAGGCUGGGACUGACGCUCAGGCACGAAAGCGUGGGGAUCAAACAGGAUUAGAUACCCUGGUAGUCCACGCAGUAAACGAUGAGGACUUGUUGUCGGCGAUAGAAUGUCGGUGACAAAGCGAAAGCGAUAAGUCCUCCACCUGGGGAGUACGAUCGCAAGGUUGAAACUCAAAUGAAUUGACGGGG